AGGUGAGUGUCCGCGCUACCCGCC
RNAcentral lists this non-coding RNA (24 nucleotides) under Arabidopsis thaliana (thale cress). The record is from RNAcentral. Lineage: Eukaryota; Viridiplantae; Streptophyta; Magnoliopsida; Brassicales; Brassicaceae.